RNAcentral lists this ribosomal RNA (354 nucleotides) under uncultured Streptococcus sp. Its description in RNAcentral is "bacterial SSU rRNA". It matches the Rfam family "Bacterial small subunit ribosomal RNA", at positions 1027 to 1382 of the family's 1533-position model. The record is from RNAcentral. Lineage: Bacteria; Bacillati; Bacillota; Bacilli; Lactobacillales; Streptococcaceae.
GAGGGUGACAGGUGGUGCAUGGUUGUCGUCAGCUCGUGUCGUGAGAUGUUGGGUUAAGUCCCGCAACGAGCGCAACCCCUAUUGUUAGUUGCCAUCAUUCAGUUGGGCACUCUAGCGAGACUGCCGGUAAUAAACCGGAGGAAGGUGGGGAUGACGUCAAAUCAUCAUGCCCCUUAUGACCUGGGCUACACACGUGCUACAAUGGUUGGUACAACGAGUUGCGAGUCGGUGACGGCGAGCUAAUCUCUUAAAGCCAAUCUCAGUUCGGAUUGUAGGCUGCAACUCGCCUACAUGAAGUCGGAAUCGCUAGUAAUCGCGGAUCAGCACGCCGCGGUGAAUACGUUCCCGGGCCUU